RNAcentral lists this ribosomal RNA (598 nucleotides) under uncultured bacterium. RNAcentral's name for it is "bacterial SSU rRNA". It matches the Rfam family "Bacterial small subunit ribosomal RNA", at positions 28 to 622 of the family's 1533-position model. The record is from RNAcentral.
GAUGAACGCUAGCGGGAGGCUUAACACAUGCAAGUCGUGGGGCAGCACAGGUAGCAAUACUGGGUGGCGACCGGCGCACGGGUGAGUAACGCGUAUGCAACCUGCCCUGUACAGGGGGAUAGCCCGGAGAAAUUCGGAUUAAUACCCCAUAAAGAUAUGAGAAGGCAUCUUUUUAUAUUUAAAGUUUCGGCGGUACGGGAUGGGCAUGCGUGACAUUAGCUAGUUGGCAGGGUAACGGCCUACCAAGGCUUCGAUGUCUAGGGGUCCUGAGAGGGUGAUCCCCCACACUGGUACUGAGACACGGACCAGACUCCUACGGGAGGCAGCAGUGAGGAAUAUUGGUCAAUGGGCGCAAGCCUGAACCAGCCAUCCCGCGUGCAGGAAGAAGGCGCUAUGCGUCGUAAACUGCUUUUUCAGGGGAAGAAAUCCCGUACGUGUACGGGACUGACGGUACCCUGUGAAUAAGCAUCGGCUAACUCCGUGCCAGCAGCCGCGGUAAUACGGAGGAUGCGAGCGUUAUCCGGAUUCAUUGGGGUUAAAGGGUGCGUAGGCGGAACGAUAAGUCAGUGGUGAAAUUCUGCAGCUUAACUGUAGACGU